UCAUUUUCUUCUCCCUUCGGUUUGCUGUCGUCAUUUGCGAGCGCCGCCAUCUCGUGUCCCCGACCUGUGGCGCCGGCCUCAUCUCUCCAACGUGCGCCGCCGGGCUGUUCUCCCGCCCCAUCCUGGUGGAACGCGCCACCGGCCUUGUCUCCCCGCUGGAUCCGGAUGGAGUGCGGCGCCGGCAUCCUGUACACGACGCACGGCGCCGGCAUCCUAUACACGACGCGCGGCGCCGAUCUGUUGUCCCCGGUCGAUACGGGUGGAACGAGCCAGUGGCCUCCUCUCCCCGGCCGAUCCGGAUGGAGCGCAACGCCGGCCUUCUGUCCCCGACGCGCGGUGGCAGCCUCCCAUCCCCGGCCGAUCCUUGUGAAGUACGGCGUCGGCCAACCUCCUCUCCUCAUCGGAUGAGGUCGCCUCCCUCUCCUCGUCCCUCUCCCUGGGGCGGAGCGCGUGGUAGGGUGGAUCGAGGUGGGCAAUUCCACCACGACGACGAGAUUCAAAUCCAACUCCCGGCCCAUUGUCGGCCUCCGUCCCGGCGGCGUGGUUGUGGUGUGCACGAGGUCCUUCCCUUAGUUUGUGCGCGGGAAAGGCUGCUACGCCGUCGACGCGCCAUUCUCCGGCAUUGAAAUUCGCUGCCGGAACGGCACCAUAGCCAUCUUGCCGGCGGAGACGAGGGCGCACGGUGGAUUGAGGUGAGGACGUGGAGCGGCAGGCUCCUCUUCCCGCUCCCCGCGCCGGCAGGCUUCCUCUCCUGUUCCCGCUCCCCGCACGAUGGAGUGCAGUAGCAUUGCACAGCCUGCUGGUCGUCUGGGGAUUGGCCUACUUUGUUCUUUUUUGUGGAGGCUCAAAACAAGGGUUGUCCAUGGCACCCUUGACUAAUAUUGGCGCAAGGCCCUUAGGAGCACCAGUAGCAGCAGCUGAAGGUGUCGUCGGGAGCUUGUAUGCAGAAGAAUGGAGCACCUGAAAGAUGUUGGCAACACCUUGCAUACAAAAGAAUGAAACACAUGAUGUAGAUGUCGUGAAGACCUUGUAAUUAGCCGUGAUUAAGUGAGACUGGGGCGCUGCUGUCCAGGACCCUGUAUAGCAGGCUUGAUUCUCUGAGUUUUGGGUGCUGAUCUUUAUAUUUGUGCAUGAUACAUAUAGUAGGCGAACUGUAAUAUGUGCUUCCGAAUAGAACUUGGCAAACACAUGUUACCUUAUACUAGUGCAUUUGUUUUUCUAUGAACACCCUAUUUUGUGGUUCCGAAUAGAAUUUGGCAAAUAUACGUAUAUGAAUUUGUGCUGGA
Phragmites australis (common reed) is the source of this 1286-nucleotide long non-coding RNA. RefSeq lists it as uncharacterized. NCBI's taxonomy places the organism in Eukaryota, Viridiplantae, Streptophyta, Magnoliopsida, Poales, Poaceae. The transcript is spliced from 2 exons. The record is from RefSeq and is a predicted model, not a curated record.